RNAcentral lists this ribosomal RNA (402 nucleotides) under bacterium. RNAcentral describes it as "partial 16S ribosomal RNA". It matches the Rfam family "Bacterial small subunit ribosomal RNA", at positions 355 to 776 of the family's 1533-position model. The record is from RNAcentral.
UGGGGAAUUUUGCACAAUGGGGGAAACCCUGAUUCAGCGACGCCGCGUGAUUUAGAAGGCCUUCUGGUUGUAAAAAUCUUUUCUAUGGGAAGAAAAUGACAGUACCAUAGGAAUAAGGACCGGCUAAUUACGUGCCAACAGCCGCGGUAAUACGUAAGGUCCGAGCGUUGUCCGGAAUCAUUGGGUGUAAAGGGUACGUAGGCAGGUAAGCAAGUUAGAAGUGAAAUGCUAUCGCUCAAAAAUAGUAAGCUUUUAAAACUACUAAUCUUCAGGUAUGGAAGGGAGAGUGGAAGUCCAAGUGUAGCGGUGAAAUGAGCAGAUGUUAGGAGGAAGACCGCUGGCGAAGACGGCUUUCUGGCCAGAACCUGACGAUGAGGUACGACAGCGUGGGUAGCAAACAGG